This 468-nucleotide ribosomal RNA is filed under the name uncultured bacterium. RNAcentral's name for it is "partial 16S ribosomal RNA". It matches the Rfam family "Bacterial small subunit ribosomal RNA", at positions 28 to 507 of the family's 1533-position model. The record is from RNAcentral.
GACGAACGCUGGCGGCGUGCUUAACACAUGCAAGUCGAACGGAAAGGCCCUGCUUUUGUGGGCUGCUCGAGUGGCGAACGGGUGAGUAACACGUGAGUAACCUGCCCCUGACUUUGGGAUAACUUCAGGAAACUGGGGCUAAUACCGGAUAGGAGCUCCUGCUGCAUGGGGGGGGUUGGAAAGUUUCGGCGGUUGGGGCUGGACUCGCGGCUUAUCAGCUUGUUGGUGGGGUAGUGGCUUACCAAGGCUUUGACGGGUAGCCGGCCUGAGAGGGUGACCGGCCACAUUGGGACUGAGAUACGGCCCAGACUCCUACGGGAGGCAGCAGUGGGGAAUAUUGCGCAAUGGGCGGAAGCCUGAUGCAGCGACGCCGCGUGCGGGAUGACGGCCUUCGGGUUGUAAACCUCUUUCGCCUGUGACGAAGCGUGAGUGACGGUACUGGGUAAAGAAGCACCGGCUAACUACGUG